Small nuclear RNA from Otolemur garnettii (small-eared galago), 146 nucleotides. Its record names the gene U4. It matches the Rfam family "U4 spliceosomal RNA". Rfam says of the family: U4 small nuclear RNA (U4 snRNA) is a component of the major U2-dependent spliceosome. The structure of U4 snRNA from yeast and human has been reported. NCBI's taxonomy places the organism in Eukaryota, Metazoa, Chordata, Mammalia, Primates, Galagidae. The record is from Ensembl.
AGUUUUGGGCAGUGGCAGUACCAUAGCCAAAGAGGUUUUUCUGAGGUGCAAUUACUACUAAUUGAAAACUUUUCUCAAUACCCCACUGUGAGGAUUUGCAAUAAAGUUGGCACUAUAUUGGCAAUUUUUGACAGUCUGUAAGGAGA